UACGUAGGGUCCGAGCGUUGUUCGGAAUUAUUGGGCGUAAAGAGCUCGUAGGCGGUUUGUCGCGUCUGCUGUGAAAUCCCGAGGCUCAACCUCGGGUCUGCAGUGGGUACGGGCAGACUGGAGUGCGGUAGGGGAGAAUGGAAUUCCUGGUGUAGCGGUGGAAUGCGCAGAUAUCAGGAGGAACACCGAUGGCGAAGGCAGUUCUCUGGGCCGUAACUGACGCUGAGGAGCGAAAGCGUGGGGAGCGAACAGG
This 253-nucleotide ribosomal RNA is filed under the name uncultured bacterium. Its description in RNAcentral is "partial 16S ribosomal RNA". It matches the Rfam family "Bacterial small subunit ribosomal RNA", at positions 524 to 776 of the family's 1533-position model. The record is from RNAcentral.